Molecule: ribosomal RNA, 253 nt
Filed under: uncultured bacterium
Lineage: Bacteria
Description: partial 16S ribosomal RNA
Rfam family: Bacterial small subunit ribosomal RNA
Source: RNAcentral
GACAGAGGAUGCAAACGUUGCUCGGAAUUACUGGGCGUAAAGCGCAUGUAGGCGGCUUGGUAAGUCGGACGUGAAAGCCCGGGGCUCAACCCCGGAAGCGCGCUCGAUACUGCCGAACUUGGGUCCUGAAGAGGAGAGCGGAAUUCCCGGUGUAGAGGUGAAAUUCGUAGAUAUCGGGAGGAACACCAGUGGCGAAGGCGGCUCUCUGGGCAGGUACCGACGCUGAGAUGCGAAAGCGUGGGAAGCAAACAGG